GAUGAACGCUGACAGAAUGCUUAGCACAUGCAAGUCAACUUGAACUUCGGUUUGGGUGGCGGACGGGUGAGUAACGCGUAAAGAACUUGCCUCACAGAUAGGGACAACAUUUGGAAACGAAUGCUAAUACCUGAUAUUAUGAUUAUAUGGCAUCGUAUAAUUAUGAAAGCUAUAUGCGCUGUGAGAGAGCUUUGCGUCCCAUUAGCUAGUUGGAGAGGUAACGGCUCACCAAGGCGAUGAUGGGUAGCCGGCCUGAGAGGGUGAUCGGCCACAAGGGGACUGAGACACGGCCCUUACUCCUACGGGAGGCAGCAGUGGGGAAUAUUGGACAAUGGACCAAGAGUCUGAUCCAGCAAUUCUGUGUGCACGAUGAAGUUUUUCGGAAUGUAAAGUGCUUUCAGUUGGGAAGAAAAAAAUGACGGUACCAACAGAAGAAGUGACGGCUAAAUACGUG
RNAcentral lists this ribosomal RNA (454 nucleotides) under uncultured bacterium. Its description in RNAcentral is "partial 16S ribosomal RNA". It matches the Rfam family "Bacterial small subunit ribosomal RNA", at positions 28 to 507 of the family's 1533-position model. The record is from RNAcentral.